RNAcentral lists this ribosomal RNA (328 nucleotides) under uncultured eukaryote. Its description in RNAcentral is "partial 18S ribosomal RNA". It matches the Rfam family "Eukaryotic small subunit ribosomal RNA", at positions 1470 to 1796 of the family's 1831-position model. The record is from RNAcentral.
CCCUUAGAUGUCCUGGGCCGCACGCGCGUUACACUGAUGCAUUCAACGAGCUUAUAACCUUGGCCGAGAGGCCUGGGCAAUCUUGUUAACGUGCAUCGUGAUAGGGAUAGAUUAUUGAAAUUAUUAAUCUUGAACGAGGAAUUCCUAGUAAACGCAGAUCAUCAAUCUGCAUUGAUUACGUCCCUGCCCUUUGUACACACCGCCCGUCGCACCUACCGAUUGGAUGGUCCGGUGAAGCCUCGGGAUUGUGGUUCUUGCCGCUUUAUUGUAGCGUGACCGCGAGAACUUGUCUAAACCUUAUCAUCUAGAGGAAGGCGAAGUCGUAACA